AAAGACUUAGUCCUAACCUUACUAUUGGUUUCUGCUAGACAUAUACAUGCAAGUAUCCGCAUUCCAGUGAAAAUGCCCCUAAAUCUUUUCUCCACAAGCUAAAGGAGCAGGUAUCAGGCACACCCAACAAGUAGCCCAAAACACCUUGCUAAGCCACACCCCCACGGGUAUUCAGCAGUAAUUAACCUUAAGCAAUAAGUGUAAACUUGACUUAGCCAUAGCAACCCCUAGGGUUGGUAAAUCUUGUGCCAGCCACCGCGGUCAUACAAGAAACCCAAAUCAAUAGCCAUCCGGCGUAAAGAGUGGUCAUAUGUUAUCUACAUCAACUAAGAUCAAAAUGGAACUAAGCUGUCAUAAGCCCAAGAUCCACCUAAGCCCAACCUGAAAAUCAUCUUAGCCCCAUGACUAAUUUCAACCCACGAAAGCCAGGGCACAAACUGGGAUUAGAUACCCCACUAUGCCUGGCCCUAAAUCUAGAUGCCCCUCAUACACCUACAUCCGCCCGAGAACUACGAGCACAAACGCUUAAAACUCUAAGGACUUGGCGGUGCCUCAAACCCACCUAGAGGAGCCUGUUCUAUAACCGAUAAUCCACGAUCCACCUAACCACCCCUUGCCAACACAGCCUACAUACCGCCGUCGCCAGCUCACCUCUAAUGAAAGAACAACAGUGAGCCCAACAGUCCCCACUAGCAAGACAGGUCAAGGUAUAGCCCAUGGGGUGGAAGAAAUGGGCUACAUUUUCUAGCAUAGAACAUAACGGAAAAGAGCGUGAAACUCGCCCUUAGAAGGAGGAUUUAGCAGUAAAGUAGGACCACACUCCCCUUCAAGCCUUCUUAAAGACGGCCCUGAGGCACGUACAUACCGCCCGUCACCCUCUUCACAAACCAUCAAUACCUAUAAAUAAUUCACCUUCCCAGGUUAAAGACGAGGCAAGUCGUAACAAGGUAAGCGUACCGGAAGGUGCGCUUAGACCAC
RNAcentral lists this non-coding RNA (978 nucleotides) under Pavo cristatus (Indian peafowl). Its description in RNAcentral is "12S ribosomal RNA". It matches the Rfam family "Bacterial small subunit ribosomal RNA". The record is from RNAcentral. Lineage: Eukaryota; Metazoa; Chordata; Aves; Galliformes; Phasianidae.